Molecule: long non-coding RNA, 1274 nt
Organism: Dermochelys coriacea (leatherback sea turtle)
Lineage: Eukaryota; Metazoa; Chordata; Testudines; Dermochelyidae
Exons: 3
Source: RefSeq, a predicted model, not a curated record
CCAGGAACCUCACCUGUGCAGUGGAUCAGCCCAGACUGAUCCAGUUGCAGGACCUAGCCCUAAUUCUUACAGCAGUGAUAGGUUGCCUAGAAAUGUCAUGUGUAUGGGGGUAAGUUCUGGAGACAAAGGAGCUAUGCUGCUUUACGCUAUCUGGGGGAUCUAGCCCAUUGAUUUAUACCAGCUGGAGACUGGCACAUGAAGAGAAGGAGUGAUCUGAAAAACAGGGAAUUAGCGAAACCUACGAAAGGUGACCCAGGACCCAGUCCUGCAGUCGAUGACCUAUGGGAGAUUCCUCUGACUUAGAUGAUACAGGUAAACCCUGCCAUGCACCAAGAUGAAAUGAGGAUCCGAUCCUAGCAGGGCUUCAGAGGUGCUGAUUUUAUUUUCUUCUCGCCCCAUAGAUUUUAAAAGAGGAAGUAUUUGUAGCUCAAUGAUCUCGCUCCCUGGGCCACAUCCCUUUCCUCCACCUCAGCUUAAAGGCUGAAGCCCCCCUGACAGGACACUAUACUGCCCAGGAAGGAAAUCCUGCACAUGGCUUGGUCUGGGGGUAAGGCCCCCCCGGGAGGAUUAUAAUGAAAGCCCAGCUACCGAUGGGGAACCGGUGGGGUUCCAAGGGCUCCAAUUCGCAUCUCCAUCCUUGGAUGCUUACCAAAGAGUUUGCCUGCUCCGUGCAAUGCAGGGAUGCUGGUAGGGCCACCUGAAGGAAUUAAUGUUCUGUAUACGGCCUAUCACACCGGGGUCCUGAUCCUGGACUUGGACUCCGAGACGCGAGCGCCAUGCCAAUAACCAAGAAGAACAAUGUAAUCCAGCAAUUAACAGGCCCACCCAAGGGCCUUAGACCAAAAGGUGCAAAGGCUCCGCUUUUCUCUGAUUGGUUUUGGAGACAAUUUGCUGGAACCUGGUUUUGUUACAAUUGAAAGUGGAUGGUCAGAUCCCCCUCGCCCCAUGAAACCGACCAACCGAGCAUCCCCAAAGCCUUCCCCUGGGAGUGAUGGGCUCUUGCUGCUAUGGAUGGGUUAAGAGGAUGCCGAAUCUCUCUGAAACUCUUGUACUUCAAACCAGCUUCAGCAGGGCUUGGAGUUGUAAGGUGCGGGUUUACCUGGGCCAUGUAACAGUGGUAGGGGCAGCUCCCGCUGUCUGCCAUACAAACCCCCUCAUUAAGCAUCAGUUCAGGGGAGCUAGACAUGUUACGAGCGGGGAAUAACGUUUGCAUCGACCCCUGUUCCUACUUGCAAGGCGGAGGACGCACAAGGAGAAAGAAAAACGAACCCUGC